GCUAUGGGCAACUCAGCAACUUUUCCUCUGGACAGGAUUUGAUAAAUCUCCCCCAUAGUCCCUACAGUCUGUGACAAGCACUCUAAGACACUGUAAUCUUGCUUGUAGGAUAGAUUGUUUUCAUAAUACGAGAAGCAGGGGAGAUGUGUGUUGUGUACUUCCUUCAGUUCAUUUACUGACCUCCUAGCAAAAUAUUAAAACUUGGCGCAAAGGCAACAGAUUUUGCACAAAUAUAGAACACCGAGAAUAUAGGGCUGCACGAUAUGAAAAUGUGCGAUUAUGGAGAUUUGUUUUAAAUCACUCACCUGCUUGAUUGUUGUUGUGGAGUUUCCAUGACAGCGGAGGCAGGUACUAUUUAAGACACGGCUCUAAGACCAGUGACGUGCAAACCUGUUGAAGCGCGAAGUAUCGCUAGAAACGGACCGUAGUUUGUAGAAGCACACCUGUAUGAUCGUCUCCGCACUGAUGUAUGGACCCGUGAAAUAAAGGACACAUUUUGCAGCAUUGGAAGACGACAGCAUGAAUGCAAGCAGCACAUACAUGUAAACAUAUGUUGCUCUCUAUGAACACACCCGCUGUAUGUACCCCAUGAUUUCAUUGGAACAAAGUACCGAAGAGAAUUUAUGUGGCAGGAAUCAUCGUGUGAAUAAUUACAAAGUAGCAAGUAUUUUCAAAUAGAGCAAAUAUGAUAAAAACCCUAUUAUAGUAGGGCAUGUGUAAUGAACAGUACUUUUUAAUUUGAAAAUAGCUAUUCAUUAAAGCAAGAAUAGCAGAUUAAAAAGAGAAGCUCAAAGCUCAAGGCGAUAAAUGGGAAUACAAAAAAAAGCCUUUCUUUAUAUGGAAGCCGAAUAUAUGAAUGUGGAUCGGGGAACAUUAAAAGAGUGGUCCUAUUUAUUGUAAUUGUUUUACGCCUUUAUUCGUGGCAGCAAACAAUCAUACAAUUACUAUCAGAUCCAAAGAUUUGAAAUCAUCAAUGUGAUGAAUAAAUAAUAUUAUUGAC
Hyla sarda is the source of this 1000-nucleotide long non-coding RNA. RefSeq lists it as uncharacterized. The transcript is spliced from 7 exons. Lineage: Eukaryota; Metazoa; Chordata; Amphibia; Anura; Hylidae. The record is from RefSeq and is a predicted model, not a curated record.